GACGAACGCUGGCGGCGUGCUUAACACAUGCAAGUCGAACGGAAAGGCCCUGCUUUUGUGGGGUGCUCGAGUGGCGAACGGGUGAGUAACACGUGAGUAACCUGCCCUUGACUUUGGGAUAACUUCAGGAAACUGGGGCUAAUACCGGAUAGGAGCCCCUGCUGCAUGGUGGGGGUUGGAAAGUUUCGGCGGUAGGGGAUGGACUCGCGGCUUAUCAGCUUGCUGGUGGGGUAGUGGCUUACCAAGGCUUUGGCGGGUAGCCGGCCUGAGAGGGUGACCGGCCACAUUGGGACUGAGAUACGGCCCAGACUGCAACGGGAGGCAGCAGUGGGGAAUAUUGCACAGUGGGCGGAAGCCUGAUGCGGCAACGCCGCGUGCGGGAUGACGGCCUUCGGGUUGUAAACCGCUUUCGCCUGUGACGAAGCGUGAGUGACGGUAAUGGGUAAAGAAGCACCGGCUAACUACGUG
Molecule: ribosomal RNA, 468 nt
Filed under: uncultured bacterium
Lineage: Bacteria
Description: partial 16S ribosomal RNA
Rfam family: Bacterial small subunit ribosomal RNA
Source: RNAcentral